CCCCCCCACCACUGAUUCUUUCAUCUUCUUCCCUACUCCAUAUCCUCUUCUUCUGGAGAAAGGGAGCAGCCUUUCAUGGCUUCUGUUUAACGAGACAAUCAAGACUGAGCCAGCCGUUUCUCACCAUACCAAAACCAAACGAAAAAACCAAAAAAAAACCUGCUCUUCAUCUUCAUCACACCAAGCAGCCAUAGCCAAGCUCCAUAAAACACCCCAAAAUCCUAGUCAAAACCCAGCUAAAGUCCAGUGAAAUUCCAGCGUGUAAUCACAGUCGAAAAACCCAUGUGAAACGUCACUGCUUCAGCCGCAUACCCGCCAGAUCUCUGACCGGCUUCGUCCGCACUGUCGUCGCCUCCCAUCUCUCGUCCAUUGCUGCUUCAACCUGAAACCAGUCCCAAAAACCAAUACAUGAGGAGGUUUUGAUGUUCGAGUUCGAGGGUCUGUCAAGUUCGGGUUUCCGGCGAGGUCUUUGGUUAACGGAUCUGUUGGUGUCCGGUAUCUUUGGCUCGAUCUUCUUUGUAAACCAGCCGAGAUGUUUUUUUGCUAAUAUUUUGAAACCUAUACAAGGUGUGGGUCUACUUAUCGGAGUUUGAGCAUGACAGACACCCCGGGACCAUCCAGUCAGGAUCGCUUAUUCAAGAGUUGCUUAAGAAGAUCUUUCUUUUUAUUUUUUAUGUUUUGAGUUUUGUACAGUAAUGUCGAGUUUUCUUUAUUAUUGUACUUUCUAUUUUGUAUUUGAAAAAGUGUGAUAUAAAUCCAAAAUCCAAAAAAAGAUGUUGCGUUUUAUAUUUC
This is a long non-coding RNA of Nicotiana attenuata, 792 nucleotides long. RefSeq lists it as uncharacterized. The transcript has 2 exons. NCBI's taxonomy places the organism in Eukaryota, Viridiplantae, Streptophyta, Magnoliopsida, Solanales, Solanaceae. The record is from RefSeq and is a predicted model, not a curated record.